GAGUAACUAAUGGAUGAUGGAAAUAAUUAAUUGGAUUAAUUAAGUGUUGUGAUUAAUUUAGAAAGUCUGAAGAAAUCAUAAAAGCGAUAAAGAUCGUUUUGGGCUUAAAGAAACGUUCGGGUUUAAUUGGGCCCAUUGGGCUUUUAUUCAAGCAUUGGAUGACUUGAAAUAAAUGAAAGCCCAAAGCCCAAACAACACAAAGAGGGCCGGCCAUUUUAGGUGUGGAAAGGGUGAGAUAUUUAGUCAAGUUGUUGGCUAGGUUUCUUAUGUCUAUAUAAGGAACUUUAUAGUGAUAUUGUUCAUAAGGGUUUUUGUGUGGUUAAAAACAACAAAGAGGCAAAAGAAUAUCUCUCUAAAAACUACACAAAGGCCGGCCACCUUGGGGUGAUUUUACUAACAUAUCUUUCACCCUUUGGUUAUUCCUUCAUCCUUCUCACUACUCUAGUGAGUGAGGAUCUUUAGAGGUUUCCUACUUUGGAAACUUGAAGAGAACCUAGGAGCACUCAUUCUAUCAAAGUGGAGGAGGCAAGGAGGGAAGCUAGGCUCAAGGAGUUCAAGGAACAAAGGGCUUGGAGGUGGUCCAUCCUUGGUCUCAAGUCUAGAUCAAGAGGUAUAAGACUAAACCUUCACUUUGUUCUUUUCUCUAAAAUUUUAUUUGAUGCAUUAUAUAUAUAACCUAUGAACCUUGAAGGGGAUUUGCAUGACUAUAGCUUUGUUAAUAUGUUAUAAAUGCUUCUGCUGCUUUCGUAUAUUAAAUUUUGAUUUGUAUAUGCAUGAUAGUCAUUUAGAAAUCCCAUCCAUGAAUCUCAUAGAUUUCCCUUCAUUAAGUAGUCAAAUUUAUCCUUUACAUAAAAAUCAUAGUUCAAAUUGAAAAGAUUUACAAGCAUGCUACUAAAACAAUGUGUACCUUAGCAAUCCUUGAUUAACCUUCGUGGAUCUAAUACUUUCCAUCAACAAGUCUCAUGAGGAGACAUAAAAUACAUCAUGAUGCAACCGAUUUCCAUGCCUUAAAACCAGAACCUAUAAUGGGGCUCAUACUAGAAAUAUUUGUAACAGAAGACAUGGAACUUAAUCUGCAAUAAACUCCAUGAAAUUAGAUUAAUUUAUACUUGUGGGCAAGAAAAUUACCUAGUAUCUAGUACUAGAUUAAAUGUCACAAGAGGACCUUCAUUAAAAACUUCAACACUUGUGGGCAGAUGAAGCUUUCAUAACUCCUAUGAAAUAAAACUCAUACUUUGCCAUCUUAAUUAAACUAAAAGCAACAAUCCACACCUUAAAACAAGAACAUUAUUCCUUUUAUUCUAAUUAAGAUGCAACUUUGAUAGAAAUAACUCAAAAACACAGUCUCAUCAUCAACUAAGCCAUUGCGGCUUGCUUAGUUGAAAGGACAUUGAUCAACUCCGCCUUGAAACAAAAGGUAACAAGGAUUAAUUAGCCGUAAGUGACAAAAUUAUGAUAACCUGAUUCAAGCUUCGAAUCUUGCCAACAAAUGGCAUUAAUUCCUUCAUGACUCCCAUUGACAUUCAAUUAAUCUCAAGAAGCCUAACAACAUAUUUGAAAGAGAUUAAUCACAUAUAGAACAAGUUGUUUAAGAAUCGUAAUUAUCACACUUACACUACAAUAAUGUCAAUAAUUACAAGAGAACAUGAUGGAGCUAAUUGCUUCGGAAUAGAAACACUUUACGUAAUGUGAAAGAAUAAUACAUUUGCUUUAAUUCAAAAAUCAAUUUGUGAUAUCACCUAAAUGCUUUCUUAAGUCAAACGAGUUCCUUUUCUUUUGUACGUUUCUUUCCGUAGUACAAAACUACUAACAGUAUUAAUUAGCAUUAAAAGCAUGCAUUAGUUUGGUAAAUACCAAAUUAAAUAAAGGAACAACCAAAAUUCUUUUCUUCCAAAGAAAACAUCUCCAAUACAUGUCAUACAUUAGUCUUGAAUAAUUUCUUUUCCUCUUCAAUUAUGGCACAUAAAAUUUUGACUGAUCAAGCAUUGUUUAAAUCCUUUAGGCAUUAGGAAAAACUAACAAACUAUAAUACAAGUUUGGAAGCUCAUGCUUAUUAAUCUGUUAGGUUGUUAGUUUUUCCUAAUGCCUAAAGGAUUUAAACAAUGCCUUUUGCAUUCAUAUUUUCAACACUAGCUUUGGAUUAGUAUUCACUAAAGAAGACCUUUUUAUGUCUAAAUAAAAGAGUUAUUGCACUAGCUUUGAAGAAGAGCAAAACAGUAAGUUGUAUGCUACUCAAGGAGUUAAAGUGAGAGAAUAUAAUAAGGACAAAGUCUAUGUGAGAAAAAAUAAAAGAGAUAAUAGUUUAAUUUUUGUUCUUUCAGGUCUUCAUCAAGUACUAAUCCUAGAGGCUUGGCAAGAUAAUUUAUUGUACUCAUUAUUGAAAUAGUGAAAGUUUGUUGUUGCUGCCCCGUAGACAUAGGCACGUAGCUAAACCAUGUAAAUUCUUGGUGUUAUCUGUCUUGGUUAUUUGUUUUCGGUUUUUGAGUUUGUUUAGUUUUUUCCAUUCUUGAAGGCAAUAUUCACAACAAGUGGUAUCAAAGCCUCGUUUGGCUGAUAUCUAGUUUAGAAUGGAGGGUGCGAUUAGCCCUGUGAUAAAACCCACCCGCUCUAACUAGUUGAUGUGGAAAUCAAUAAUGGAUGACAUGCUUUAUUGUAAAGAACUCCAUGAGCCAAUUGAAGGUGUUAAGAACAAGCCAGCAAGUAUGUCUAAUACCGACUGGAGCAAGAUGAAUUGUAAAGCUAAUGGUAGGAUUUGAUAAUGGUGGAUGAGAGCAUCUAUCCCCAUGUACCUAAAGAUUGAUGUGCAAUCUCUUUGGAAAAAGUUAGAAUCUCUCUUUGAGAAGAAGACCACCGCCAAGAAAGUAUUCCUUAUCAAGAGCUUGUCAACGUGAAGUAUGUAGAAGAUGUUAGUAUGAUCGAGCCCUUGAACAACUUUCAGAGCAUGACCUAUUAGUUGGCCAUUAUGGGUUUGAAUAUUGAGAUAUAAUAUUUAGCACUAUUGUUGCUAGGAUCCUUGCCAGAUGGUUAGGAAACCUUCAUUGUAAAUGUAAACAAUCUAGCUUAUAAUGGUGUACUAUAUAUGGACAAUGUUAAGGAUAACAUGUUCAAUGAAGAAACAAGGAGAAAAGCUUCAAGUGCAAACAUUGGACAAAUCUUUAUCACGGAGAAAAAGAAAAACAUUUUGGUGAGACAAUGUUCGGUGGUGACUACUACUAUUGUGGGUAAAAGGGUCGAUGAAGAAGCAUUGUCGUAAAUGGAAAAUGAACAAAAGGAUGGGACAUAUCGUUGGUGUUGUGACUUACGAAUGAGAGCUUCUUUAAUGUCAAUGAGCGAUGGUUUCUGGCAAAGAAAUCUAUAAUUGCCUUUGCCGAAUGAAGAUGAGAGUUCUGGUCAGCAGGAGCCUGGUCAAGAGAAGUCUGAUUAAGAGGAACUUGGUCAAGAGAAGUUCAAUCAGGAGAAGUCUGGCCAUGAGUAGUUUGAUCAACGGGAGCUUGGUUAUGAAGUUCGAUCAAUGAGAGUUUGGUUAAGAGGAUUAGGGGCUGGUUAUGAGAAGUUCAAUCAAUGAGAGUUUGGUCAAUAGGUGCAAUCCUACUUUCGUAUACCUUCC
Molecule: long non-coding RNA, 3607 nt
Filed under: Malus domestica (apple)
Lineage: Eukaryota; Viridiplantae; Streptophyta; Magnoliopsida; Rosales; Rosaceae
Description: long non-coding RNA (MDOM_LNC008115)
Source: RNAcentral